RNAcentral lists this ribosomal RNA (497 nucleotides) under uncultured bacterium. RNAcentral's name for it is "partial 16S ribosomal RNA". It matches the Rfam family "Bacterial small subunit ribosomal RNA", at positions 28 to 507 of the family's 1533-position model. The record is from RNAcentral.
GAUGAACGCUGGCGGCGUGCCUAAUACAUGCAAGUCGAGCGAACGGACGAGAAGCUUGCUUCUCUGAUGUUAGCGGCGGACGGGUGAGUAACACGUGGAUAACCUACCUAUAAGACUGGGAUAACUUCGGGAAACCGUAGCUAAUACCGGAUAAUAUUUUGAACCGCAUGGUUCAAAAGUGAAAGACGGACUUGCUGUCACUUAUAGAUGGAUCCGCGCUGCAUUAGCUAGUUGGUAAGGUAACGGCUUACCAAGGCAACGAUGCAUAGCCGACCUGAGAGGGUGAUCGGCCACACUGGAACUGAGACACGGUCCAGACUCCUACGGGAGGCAGCAGUAGGGAAUCUUCCGCAAUGGGCGAAAGCCUGACGGAGCAACGCCGCGUGAGUGAUGAAGGUCUUCGGAUCGUAAAACUCUGUUAUUAGGGAAGAACAUAUGUGUAAGUAACUGUGCACAUCUUGACGGUUCCUAAUCAGAAAGCCACGGCUAACUACGUG